This 292-nucleotide ribosomal RNA is filed under the name uncultured bacterium. Its description in RNAcentral is "partial 16S ribosomal RNA". It matches the Rfam family "Bacterial small subunit ribosomal RNA", at positions 505 to 796 of the family's 1533-position model. The record is from RNAcentral.
GUGCCAGCAGCCGCGGUAAUACGUAGGGUGCGAGCGUUAAUCGGAAUUACUGGGCGUAAAGCGUGCGCAGGCGGUCUCACAAGCUGGGUGUGAAAGCCCCGGGCUCAACCUGGGAGGUGCAUUCAGGACUGUGAGGCUAGAGUGCGGCAGAGGGAGGUGGAAUUCCAGGUGUAGCAGUGAAAUGCGUAGAGAUCUGGAGGAACACCGAUGGCGAAGGCAGCCUCCUGGGCCGACACUGACGCUCAUGCACGAAAGCGUGGGGAGCAAACAGGAUUAGAAACCCCAGUAGUCC